RNAcentral lists this long non-coding RNA (1428 nucleotides) under Capsicum annuum. RNAcentral's name for it is "long non-coding RNA (CANN_LNC010985)". Lineage: Eukaryota; Viridiplantae; Streptophyta; Magnoliopsida; Solanales; Solanaceae. The record is from RNAcentral.
UGAAAUAAAAAGAUACUAAAAAGUAAACCUACACUAAUCCUAAACUAUGCUCCAAUGCUUUACCCGAUGCGCCAGACCUUCAUCGUGAACGUCCUUCGAGUACAAAAUACCUCAGGGCAUUCCCUGGUGAAUAAGUACAUAAGACAUCGGGGCAUUCCCUAGUAAAAUGAAUACAUUUUCUCAAAUUUGUGUGUUAAAAUAGAAAGAACCAUUCAACAAAUAUUCACACAUUCAACAAAUCACCAUCUUCCAUUUCUACAAUUUGCCUAUCCGACUUAGCAUGUGCCUACCCCGCUUGACCUAUCAUAGCACUAUCACAAUCAACUACGUCAAUGAAUCAAAACAACAAUAUUCACUUUAUCAACUUUCAAUCCCCGUCCCAUUUAACUAAUUUUAAUUGUUAAUGAGAUAUUAUUUCAUCACACAACCCAUAAUCAAUCCAUAAUCAAGGAAAUCAAACACUGAAUCAAAACAACCAAUAAUUCACAUCAUCAAAGAACAACCAAUCAAUUCGAUGUAUCGAAUAUAACAAACAACAAAAUAAAAGAAAGAAGAAAUAGAAUUGGACCUCAAUUCGAAGAUCUUGAAAUUCAAUAAUACUUCAAUAAAAGGACAGAAUCGGCGAUGAAGAACCUCGAUUCGGAGCCUCUAUUCGAACCCCAGCUCCGGUAUGCAUUUUUUUUUAAUUUUCUAUUGACCCAAAACAGAAAUCGCCAAAAAUAGACAAACCCGAACCCGAUUUUGUGCAACUCGACCCUGUUUCACUCUUUUCCAGCAGAAUUCACAAGAAUCGAAGUAGGGUUCACCGUUCCCGAUUCACAGGAGCUCCGAUGAGCUCAAGCGAUGGCAGAGAGACUCGGGUUAGGUUGGAUUUUGAUCGAAUUUUGGGGUGUUUCUCACUGGUCCCAUUAUUUCGGCUAGAACAAUGGAGGACGAGAGUGAGGGUGUGAUUUUUCCAGCCAGCGUCACGUUUUUCGAUUAGUUUUCUUUCUUCGAUGUUUGCGUUCACUCUCUCCCUCGUCUGUUUUUCUCAAUUUCGAUCAGCUCCCUCCCAUUUUUCUACUAAUUCUCUCAUUUUUCCUAUCUCUCUUGGUCCCUCACUGUGUCCUUCCCUUUAGCUGUGUGUAUAUGUGCGUCGAUGGGUAUGGAUGAAAAUGAAGGAUUAUUAGAAUGAAAGAAAUGGAGAAUCUCAGAUCUGUGUUACUGUUAUGUGCGUUAAUUGUGUGUCGUUGUGAUGUAAUUUCUUCGAGGGUGGUGUAUAUGGCGUGAGGUGAAUUUUUUGGUGAAGAAGAUGACCUCUUUUUCUAUUUCUGUCCUCCUCUAUAUAUAGAAAUAGCGUGUAAAAUAAAAGUGGAUAGGGGUUACGUGGGUAGGUAGGGUAGGAGGAUAUUCGGUGGUGAUGUGUUUUUUUUUAAUUGGAAAGGUUGU